UACGUAGGGGGCAAGCGUUGUCCGGAAUUAUUGGGCGUAAAGAGCUUGUAGGCGGUCUGUCGCGUCUGCUGUGAAAAUCCGGGGCUCAACCCCGGACUUGCAGUGGGUACGGGCAGACUAGAGUGUGGUAGGGGAGACUGGAAUUCCUGGCGUAGCGGUGAAAUGCGCAGAUAUCAGGAGGAACACCGAUGGCGAAGGCAGGUCUCUGGGCCACUACUGACGCUGAGACGCGAAAGCGUGGGGAGCGAACAGG
This 253-nucleotide ribosomal RNA is filed under the name uncultured bacterium. RNAcentral describes it as "partial 16S ribosomal RNA". It matches the Rfam family "Bacterial small subunit ribosomal RNA", at positions 524 to 776 of the family's 1533-position model. The record is from RNAcentral.